GUUCGUUAUGUGCCAGAGGAUGGGGCUGCGGCCGAUCAGGCCGUUGGCGAGGUAACGGCUCACCAAACCUUUGACCGGUACGGGCCAUGAGAGUGGUAGCCCGGAGAUGGACACUGAGAUAGGGGUCCAGGCCCUACGGGGCGCAGCAGGCGCGAAAACUCCACACUGUACGUAAGUACGAUGGGGUUACCUCGAGUGUAGUCUGUAAAAGAUUGCUUUUCCAUAGAGUAAUAUCCUGUGGGAAUAAGAGGGGGGCAAGACUGGUGUCAGCCGCCGCGGUAACACCAGCCCCUCGAGUGGUAGGGACUUUUAUUUGGCCUAAAGCGUUCGUAGCCGUCUGUAACCGUUGCCCGUUAAAUCCAGCGUCUCAAGCGUUGGACUGCGGGCGAUACCUUACAGAUUGAGGGUGGGAUAGGUAAGCGGUAUUUCUGGGGUAGGGGCGAAAUCCUUUGAUCCCAGGAGGACCACCAGUGGCGAAGGCUGCUUACUAGAACACGCCUGACGGUCAGGAACGAAAGCUGGGGUAGCGAACCGGAUUAGAUACCCGGGUAGUCCCAGCUGUAAACGAUGCGCGCUAGGUGUUGGGUCGGCCAUGCGCCGCCCCAGUGCCGCAGGGAAGCCGUUAAGCGCGCCGCCUGGGGAGUACGGCCGCAAGGCUGAAACUUAAAGGAAUUGGCGG
This 679-nucleotide ribosomal RNA is filed under the name uncultured archaeon. RNAcentral describes it as "bacterial SSU rRNA". It matches the Rfam family "Archaeal small subunit ribosomal RNA", at positions 187 to 871 of the family's 1478-position model. The record is from RNAcentral.